RNAcentral lists this ribosomal RNA (329 nucleotides) under Clostridioides difficile. Its description in RNAcentral is "bacterial SSU rRNA". It matches the Rfam family "Bacterial small subunit ribosomal RNA", at positions 894 to 1222 of the family's 1533-position model. Lineage: Bacteria; Bacillati; Bacillota; Clostridia; Peptostreptococcales; Peptostreptococcaceae. The record is from RNAcentral.
GUGAAACUCAAAGGAAUUGACGGGGACCCGCACAAGUAGCGGAGCAUGUGGUUUAAUUCGAAGCAACGCGAAGAACCUUACCUAAGCUGGACAUCCCAAUGACAUCUCCUUAAUCGGAGAGUUCCCUGCGGGGACAUUGGUGACAGGUGGUGCAUGGUUGUCGUCAGCUCGUGUCGUGAGAUGUUGGGUUAAGUCCCGCAACGAGCGCAACCCUUGUCUUUAGUUGCCAUCAUUAAGUUGGGCACUCUAGAGAGACUGCCAGGGAUAACCUGGAGGAAGGUGGGGAUGACGUCAAAUCAUCAUGCCCCUUAUGCUUAGGGCUACACACG